GAGAUAAUGUUAACAAGCGGCUGC
This 24-nucleotide non-coding RNA is filed under the name Arabidopsis thaliana (thale cress). The record is from RNAcentral. Lineage: Eukaryota; Viridiplantae; Streptophyta; Magnoliopsida; Brassicales; Brassicaceae.